GCGGAAGUUUUCGGAUGGAAGCAAUAAACCUUAGCGGCGGACGGGUGAGUAACGCGUGGGUAACCUGCCUCAUACAGGGGGAUAACAGUUAGAAAUGACUGCUAAAACCGCAUAAGCGCACAUUGUCGAGUGACAGAGUGUGAAAAACUCCGGUGGUAUGAGAUGGACCCGCGUCUGAUUAGCUAGUUGGUGAGGUAACGGCCCACCAAGGCGACGAUCAGUAGCCGGCCUGAGAGGGCGACCGGCCACAUUGGGACUGAGACACGGCCCAAACUCCUACGGGAGGCAGCAGUGGGGAAUAUUGCACAAUGGGGGAAACCCUGAUGCAGCGACGCCGCGUGAGUGAAGAAGUAUUUCGGUAUGUAAAGCUCUAUCAGCAGGGAAGAAGAAAGACGGUACCUGACUAAGAAGCCCCGGCUAACUACGUGCCAGCAGCCGCGGUAAUACGUAGGGGGCAAGCGUUAUCCGGAUUUACUGGGUGUAAAGGGAGCGUAGACGGCUGUGCAAGUCUGAAGUGAAAGCCCAGGGCUCAACCCUGGGACUGCUUUGGAAACUGUGGAGCUAGAGUGCUGGAGAGGUAAGUGGAAUUCCUAGUGUAGCGGUGAAAUGCGUAGAUAUUAGGAGGAACACCAGUGGCGAAGGCGGCUUACUGGACAGUAACUGACGUUGAGGCUCGAAAGCGUGGGGAGCAAACAGGAUUAGAUACCCUGGUAGUCCACGCGGUAAACGAUGAAUACUAGGUGUUGGAGAGCAAAGCUUUUCGGUGCCGUCGCAAACGCAAUAAGUAUUCCACCUGGGGAGUACGUUCGCAAGAAUGAAACUCAAAGGAAUUGACGGGGACCCGCACAAGCGGUGGAGCAUGUGGUUUAAUU
This 872-nucleotide ribosomal RNA is filed under the name uncultured bacterium. RNAcentral's name for it is "bacterial SSU rRNA". It matches the Rfam family "Bacterial small subunit ribosomal RNA", at positions 66 to 951 of the family's 1533-position model. The record is from RNAcentral.